Molecule: long non-coding RNA, 455 nt
Filed under: Populus trichocarpa (black cottonwood)
Lineage: Eukaryota; Viridiplantae; Streptophyta; Magnoliopsida; Malpighiales; Salicaceae
Description: long non-coding RNA (PTRI_LNC001273)
Source: RNAcentral
AAGGGCUCUAAAGAAUGGAAGCCAGCCAGAAGUGCCGUGAAUCUGAUAAAGAUAUCAGCAAGUGACGUUGAGAAGAUAGUGAUCUCGCAGUCAGGCAACUUACUCUCACCUUUAUGUUCUCCAUUUAACACCACGUAAAUCAACAGUCUUCAACUUUCAAAACUCUGAGAUUGAAACUCACGCAUCAUACAUUCUCUUCAACCGAUCAACCAACACAUUGACUUCAUCCUCAAAAAAAGUUUCAAUCGAGACACAUCAUCAAUAUUAGUUCAGUUCCAUGGAACCCCACUAGACAUUGCAUUGAGGGUCUAAACUCUGUGUUUUUUUUUUUUAAGUAGUGUAUAUGCUGCACGUAUAAUGUACGUAGAUACACACAUGCACAUGUAUAAUUAAUCAUGGAUUUGAAAUCUGUUCCCGCAGUUAUGGAUCUAAUCUGCAAUUAUAUUAGUUAAUCG